CUGUGAGGGCGUCACCUCCCUCGACUCUCGCUCUGCGUUCCUUGACUUUUUUUGGUCUGGCUCGGUUUUUGUUUCGAGCCAGGUGCACAACAGAUAAUACAAAACCUUGUAAGCUGGAAUGUGACCUUAUGGUUGAAACUGUAGCAGCCAACCUGUGUCCAUGAGGGAAAUAUCAAGGGAAUUCAAAGGCUCUGGAGUUAACUAAACCAGAAACAACAACUGCAUGCAUCUGGACUUCCCAUUAUGUGGGGAAAAGGGGAAGUCAGCUGCCAUGUUGAGAGGAUACUCAGGCAACCUGUGGAGAAGUGAGACUGAGGUCUCCUGCCGACAUCCAUGCAUGUGA
RNAcentral lists this long non-coding RNA (343 nucleotides) under Monodon monoceros (narwhal). RNAcentral describes it as "lncRNA (ENSMMNG00015021448.1)". Lineage: Eukaryota; Metazoa; Chordata; Mammalia; Artiodactyla; Monodontidae. The record is from RNAcentral.